Molecule: non-coding RNA, 307 nt
Filed under: Mycolicibacterium doricum
Lineage: Bacteria; Bacillati; Actinomycetota; Actinomycetes; Mycobacteriales; Mycobacteriaceae
Description: Mycobacterium doricum Mycobacterium smegmatis small RNA 1
Rfam family: Mycobacterium smegmatis small RNA 1
About the family: Mycobacterium smegmatis small RNA 1 is highly expressed during stationary phase of growth.
Source: Rfam by way of RNAcentral
ACGGAAGCCCGGCAAGGCCAAGAUGUCACCAGAAGAGAAGGCGACACCUCCCGAACCGCGGCGACCCAGCACGGAACCCGGCACCCACGCGGAGCACCUGCCGCGAAAUUGGCAAAAGUGUUGCGGGCCUGCGUUGAUGCGAGGAGCGGACGACCACGACGGCUCUUUGGGUGGAGCAGUCCGUCGAAGCGCAUCGCACUGACGCCGAGGCCGACCCACGCAACCCCCACAGCACGCUUGGUAACCGGACUCCGGGCUGGCGGGCGGCGAACUGAAUUCGGAUUCGGAUCGCCGCCCGCUUCACGUU